RNAcentral lists this ribosomal RNA (447 nucleotides) under uncultured bacterium. RNAcentral describes it as "SSU rRNA". It matches the Rfam family "Bacterial small subunit ribosomal RNA", at positions 26 to 518 of the family's 1533-position model. The record is from RNAcentral.
AGAACGAACGCUGGCGGCAGGCCUAACACAUGCAAGUCGAACGCUCGUAGCAAUACGGGAGUGGCAGACGGGUGAGUAACGCGUGGGAACCUUCCCAGUGGUACGGAAUAGCUCAGGGAAACUUGAGGUAAUACCGUAUACGCCCCUAGGGGGAAAGAUUUAUCGCCAUUGGAUGGGCCCGCGUCGGAUUAGCUAGUUGGUGAGGUAACGGCUCACCAAGGCGACGAUCCGUAGCUGGUUUGAGAGAAUGACCAGCCACACUGGGACUGAGACACGGCCCAGACUCCUACGGGAGGCAGCAGUGGGGAAUCUUGGACAAUGGGCGCAAGCCUGAUCCAGCCAUGCCGCGUGAGUGACGAAGGCCUUAGGGUUGUAAAGCUCUUUUGCCGGGACGAUAAUGACGGUACCCGGAGAAUAAGUCCCGGCUAACUUCGUGCCAGCAGCCGC